RNAcentral lists this ribosomal RNA (750 nucleotides) under Triticum aestivum (bread wheat). RNAcentral describes it as "partial small subunit ribosomal RNA". The record is from RNAcentral. Lineage: Eukaryota; Viridiplantae; Streptophyta; Magnoliopsida; Poales; Poaceae.
ACCCCUCCCCCUCUCUCCCUCUCCUCCCUCUCUCACACGCACGCACACAGAGAAUUGACCAUGAGGAAGUCGAGCUGCGGCCAUGUGAUCGGAGUGCCUGUGACCUCCAAGGCGUACGCCUUAGAGGAGGCGACCACCAGGGGCGCCGGGGCGGCCAAGAAGGACGGUGACCGCCUCGCCGUCUCGUUGACCCACCCGAGCCCCUACGCGUCCUUCGGCUACAAACACAGUAGCAAGGGUCAGGUGAUCCAUUGGGUGAACAAGCUGGGCAGACGGGCUCAGGGCUUCAGAGACCACGUGACCUUGGGGCCGAAGCUGUCGGAGACGGUGAAGGGGAAGCUUAGCCUGGGCGCGAGGAUCCUGCAGGCUGGCGGCGUGGAGCGGGUGUUCCGGCAGGCCUUCUCGGCCGAGAAGGGCGAGCGGCUGGUGAAGGCGCUGCAGUGCUACCUCUACACCACCAGCGGGCCCAUCGCCGGGAUGCUCUUCGUCUCCACCAGGAAGAUCGCCUUCCGCAGCGACCGGUCCCUCACCGUCACCUCGCCCGCCGGCGACGUCGCUCGGGUGCCGUACAAGGUGGUGGUGCCGCUGGGGAGGAUCAAGGGGGUGCAGCCGAGCGAGAACGCCGACAACCCAGAGCAGAAGUACAUACACAUGGCCACCGUGGACGGGUUCGAGUUCUGGUUCAUGGGCUUCGUGAGCUACCAGAGGUGCUGCAAGUACAUGCAGCAGGUCAUCUCGUCCCAGUUGUGA